CCUACGGGAGGCAGCAGUGGGGAAUAUUGCACAAUGGGCGAAAGCCUGAUGCAGCCACGCCGCGUGAGCGAUGAAGGCCUUCGGGUUGUAAAGCUCUGUCAUCAGGGAAGAUAAUGACGGUACUUAAGGAGUAAGCCCCGGCUAACUACGGGCCAGCAGCCGAGGUAAUACGUAGGGGGCUAGCGUUAUCCGGAAUUACUGGGUGGAAAGGGAGCGGAGGGGGUUUCUUAAGUCGAGGGUAAAAGGUCCCGGGUAAACCGGAAUAAGCGUUUGAAACUUGGGAUUUUGAGUGGAGUAGAGGAGGGUGGAAUUCCUAGUGUAGCGGUGAAAUGCGUAGAUAUUAGGAGGAACACCAGUGGCGAAGGCGGCCCUCUGGACUGUAACUGACGCUGAGGCGCGAAAGCGUGGGGAGCAAACAGGAUUAGAUACCCUAGUAGUC
Molecule: ribosomal RNA, 439 nt
Filed under: uncultured bacterium
Lineage: Bacteria
Description: partial 16S ribosomal RNA
Rfam family: Bacterial small subunit ribosomal RNA
Source: RNAcentral